GCUUUAAAGCCGACCCGGAUGUUCCUUGUUCCUCAUUGUUUGACUGGUUUGCGUGUGGAAUGUUUGUGUGAGCGUUUGAGUGAGUGUUUGAGUGAGCGAAUGGUGCUGUUUGAGUGUGUGUCUGUCUUUUUCUUUUAAAACCUACACACUGAUCUUAUUUGAUCUGGUCAGAGUUCGGCUCUGCUCUGAUCAGAGAUGAUAGGAAAAACGCUCCCAAGCCUCCGUGGCGAUGAGCGGAAGCGACUUUAAGCUCCAGGGCCUCCACGCUUCGUGUUGUGGUCAGAGGUGAUGAAUUGAUCAGAUAUACUAGCUCUGGGUGAGUUUGGGCUCGGCUCAGGCUUCGCUAUAGGCGAUGAGUACAGAGGCGAUUCUGAUCUAA
RNAcentral lists this small nucleolar RNA (379 nucleotides) under Mastacembelus armatus (zig-zag eel). Its description in RNAcentral is "Small Cajal body-specific RNA 2 (ENSMAMG00000025229.1)". It matches the Rfam family "Small Cajal body-specific RNA 2". Lineage: Eukaryota; Metazoa; Chordata; Actinopteri; Synbranchiformes; Mastacembelidae. The record is from Rfam by way of RNAcentral.